UGCCAGCAGCCGCGGUAAUACGGAGGGUGCAAGCGUUGCUCGGAAUCACUGGGCGUAAAGCGUCCGCAGGCGGGUAUUUAAGUCAGAGGUGAAGGCCCAGGGCUCAACCCUGGAACGGCCUUUGAAACUGGGUACCUUGAGUACGGAAGAGGGAAGCGGAAUUCCAGGUGUAGAGGUGAAAUUCGUAGAUAUCUGGAGGAACACCCGUGGCGAAAGCGGCUUCCUGGUCCGAUACUGACGCUCAUGGACGAAAGCGUGGGGAGCAAACAGGAUUAGAUA
RNAcentral lists this ribosomal RNA (279 nucleotides) under uncultured bacterium. RNAcentral's name for it is "partial 16S ribosomal RNA". It matches the Rfam family "Bacterial small subunit ribosomal RNA", at positions 506 to 784 of the family's 1533-position model. The record is from RNAcentral.